AACCAAUAUUUAUAGACCAUUUCCUUUGUGCAAAAAGCUGUACUGAGAAUCCAAAAAGGUACAUAUCUGAUCUCUGCUGCCAAUUAGUUUACAACAGAACUGCUGGGGAAAGAAGAGGUGGAGCAGAGUGCCUGCCAGAUCUGGAGUACAGAAGAGGAUAAAGCCCUGGAGUCAGAGAGCCACAUGAGAGAAGGAGCUUGGGCCCGGAAUCAUUGUCGGAGCAGAGCACACCACCCUCAAUCCACAUCAGACUGACACGAACAAGAAAAACUUCCUUCGGCAAAGCAUUGCAGGCACGUGGUGAGCACAGGAAAAAACUGACCAAUCUUCAAAGAGAAAUGAAAAGCAAUGAAGACAUCUCAGAAAUUUGAGGUUUUGAAGUGUUAGGGAAAAAAAAUUGCUUCUAGACCCCAGACAGUAAGAAGCAAAAUUGAAAAAAGCUUGAACAAAGGCCCAGUAAAUUUUCUCAGUUGUAUAAAGUCACUUAGAUUGAGCAUGAAAUCUGCUUUAGAUGGUGGUAAGGUAGCCACUGUUAAGUAAUGAAGCCCACACCCAUGUUCUCAGCAGCACUACACACACAACAGCUGAGAGGCGGAGAAAAUCCAGGCGUACAUAGAUAAAGGAAUGGAUAAGGAAAACGCGGUCUAUACACACAAUGGAAAAUUGUUCAGUCUUAAAAAGAAAGAAAAUGCAAACACAUACUACAACAUGGAAGAACCUUAACUAUAUCAUGCUAAGUGAAAUAAGCCAGUUACGAAAGAUCAAUACUGUAUGAUUCCACUUACCUGUGAAAUACCUAGAGUAGUCAAAUCCAUAGAAACGGAAAGUAGAAUGGUGGUUGCUAGGGGCUGGGAGGAGGAGGAAAUGGGAGUUUUUUUAAACAGGUAUAGAGUUUCAGUUUGCAAGACGGAAAGAGUCCUGGUGAUUGCUUGUACAACGUGACUUAUACUUUUUAAAAAUUAUUAUUAUACCUUAAGUUCUGGGAUAUAUGUGCAGAAUGUGCAGGUUUGUUACAUAGGUAUACAUGUGAAACGGUGGUGUGCUGCACCCAUCAACCCAUCAUCUACAUUAGGUAUUUCUCCUAAUGUUAUCCCUCCCCUAGCCCCCCACCCAGUGUGUGAUGUUCCCCUCCCCGUGUCCAUGUUUUCUCAUUGUUCAACUCCCACUUAUAAGUGAGAACAUGCAGUGUUUGGUUUUCUGUUCCUGUGUUAGUUUGCUGAGAAUGACGGUUUCCAGCUUCACUCAUGUCCCUGCAAAGGACACGAAUUCAUCCUUUAUGGCUGCAUAGUAUUCCGUGGUAUAUAUGUGCCACAUUUUCUUUAUCCAGUCUAUCAUUGAUGGGCAUUUGGGUUACUUCCAAGUCUUUGCUAUUGUGAACACUGCUGCAAUAAACAUACGUGUGUAUGUGUCUUUAUAGUAGAAUGAUUCAUA
This 1431-nucleotide long non-coding RNA is filed under the name Homo sapiens (human). RNAcentral's name for it is "HSALNT0112358". The record is from RNAcentral. Lineage: Eukaryota; Metazoa; Chordata; Mammalia; Primates; Hominidae.